GGGUUUUCAGUUAAGCUGUUUAUGCUCAAUUUAAUAUGAUUCAAUUAAGCUGUUUAUGCUUUCAUCUUUGUUGCCUAGAAGUUGAGGAAGCAAUCUAGUUUAUUUAUCCCAUCCAAUGUAAGAUAUGGCUAUGUUAUUUCUUAUAUUGCAGCUGAACAAGAUGAGUGCAGGGACCAGCACUGUAAAAUCAUUAAAAUCAAAAAGUAGAUUUCGGUUUACAGAAAGUUUUGAUCCUCAUUUGGCAAGUUCUAAGUAUUGGGACAAAAUCCCUAUGAAGAUGUGAGAAAGUGGACAACUAUCUAAGUAAAUAUGAUCCAAAUCACUGGAGAAUGCGUUAGUAUAAGAACUUUAAGAGACAGAAUUCAAAACCUACUGACGAAGUUCUUGGAUAAGUUUAAAGCAUUGGAGGAAAGAUCAGGAAUAGAAGUGCCUACCAGAGAUAGAUGAUUUGUUGCGCAGAGUUGCAAAAAGAAUUUAAGAAAGAAAAAAAACAAAUAGUAGCAAAGAAGUUUCUGUGUCAAGUUUUGAGAAGGGAUUUAUUGCCAGAGAAAAAGCGUCAUGCUAAUUUCUUCAGAUUCCAAAUGAGAAUGAUAUAGACCAGGAUAUAUGUAAUCAAGAUGUAUACAUUGAUUUUUGUACCAAUGAAAUGGACAUAACCAUAGAAGAACCCAUGGAAGAAAUAAGCAUCACAGAAAAUGUUGAGUUUAUUAAAAAUGUUGAAAAAAAAGAGAGUAACACUCUUGAUGACACUAACGCCUCAAAACAAAAAAGGAAAAGGCCUUUGGCACAAGCCAAUAUUUUAAAUCCUGGUUAAAAAAAAACCAGACCUGCCAUAAAACAAAAUAUGGUUCAGUUCCUAGAAAAAAAAUCAACGCCAAUAUGACAUUAGAUUUAAAGAAUUGGAGUCGGAGAGGCGAAAGCAGAUACUGGACGAAAAUAAAUUCGAAUUAGAUAAACAAGAACGUCUACACAGAAUGGAAUCAGAAACCAAACUGGCGAUGGAGGAUCGAAGAUUAUCUAUACAAGAAGAGGUUUUAAAGGUACAACUCAACCUUGUAAGCAAUCAGCAAGAUAUUUUAAAAAUUGUUUUAAGAAAAAAGGAUGAUUGAAUUUAAGAACGCUACACUCUGCAGAGUGAUUCUUAAGCUGGAUACAUUUUUUAUUUUUCUUUAUUCAAUCUGUAUUAUCGUUUCUUCAUCCUGUAUUAUAUUAUAAUUAUUAUAUCAUAUAUUAAUAGUAUGAGAUACGGCAUUAGGAAUAUAUGUAUACCCUCAUCUGAUUAGUCAUAAGAAUUCAUAAUAUACAGGGUGUUUCAGAGUUGUGGUGCCAAAACCUUA
Anthonomus grandis grandis is the source of this 1337-nucleotide long non-coding RNA. RefSeq lists it as uncharacterized. The transcript is spliced from 4 exons. NCBI's taxonomy places the organism in Eukaryota, Metazoa, Arthropoda, Insecta, Coleoptera, Curculionidae. The record is from RefSeq and is a predicted model, not a curated record.